RNAcentral lists this ribosomal RNA (769 nucleotides) under uncultured Actinomycetes bacterium. RNAcentral's name for it is "bacterial SSU rRNA". It matches the Rfam family "Bacterial small subunit ribosomal RNA", at positions 8 to 795 of the family's 1533-position model. Lineage: Bacteria; Bacillati; Actinomycetota; Actinomycetes. The record is from RNAcentral.
AGAGUUUGAUUCUGGCUCAGGAUGAACGCUGGCGGCGUGCUUAACACAUGCAAGUCGAACGAGGUCCAACCUUCGGGUGAAGACCGAGUGGCGAACGGGUGAGUAACACGUGGGGAACCUGCCCUUCUCUCUGGGAUAACCUCGGGAAACCGAAGCUAAUACCGGAUACUCCUUGCGGACCGCAUGGUCUGCUCGGGAAAGCUCCGGCGGAGAAGGAUGGCCCCGCGGCCCAUUAGCUUGUUGGUGGGGUAACGGCCCACCAAGGCGACGAUGGGUAGCCGAGCUGAGAGGCUGAUCGGCCACACUGGGACUGAGACACGGCCCAGACUCCUACGGGAGGCAGCAGUGGGGAAUCUUGCGCAAUGGGCGAAAGCCUGACGCAGCAACGCCGCGUGCGGGAUGAAGGCUCUCGGGUCGUAAACCGCUUUCAGCAGGGAUGAAAAUGACAGUACCUGCGGAAGAAGCCCCGGCUAAAUACGUGCCAGCAGCCGCGGUAAUACGUAUGGGGCAAGCGUUAUCCGGAUUCAUUGGGCGUAAAGCGCGCGUAGGCGGCUUGUUAAGUCAGGCGUGAAAUCCGGGGGCUCAACCCGCGGCUUGCGUCUGAAACUGGCAGGCUUGAGUCUGGUAGAGGAAAGUGGAAUUCCUGGUGUAGCGGUGAAAUGCGCAGAUAUCAGGAGGAACACCAGUGGCGAAGGCGGCUUUCUGGGCCACGACUGACGCUGAGGCGCGAAAGCUAGGGGAGCGAACAGGAUUAGAUACCCUGGUAGUC